GCACGGGGGCAACCCUGGUGGCGAGUGGCGAACGGGUGAGUAAUACAUCGGAACGUGUCCUGUAGUGGGGGAUAGCCCGGCGAAAGCCGGAUUAAUACCGCAUACGCUCUACGGAGGAAAGGGGGGGAUCUUAGGACCUCCCGCUACAGGGGCGGCCGAUGGCAGAUUAGCUAGUUGGUGGGGUAAAGGCCUACCAGGCGACGAUCUGUAGCUGGUCUGAGAGGACGACCGCCACACUGGGACUGAGACACGGCCCAGACUCCUACGGGAGGCAGCAGUGGGGAAUUUUGGACAAUGGGGGCAACCCUGAUCCAGCAAUGCCGCGUGUGUGAAGAAGGCCUUCGGGUUGUAAAGCACUUUUGUCCGGAAAGAAAACGUCGUGGUUAAUACCCGUGGUGGCUGACGGUACCGGAAGAAUAAGCACCGGCUAACUACGUGCCAGCAGCCGCGGUAAUACGUAGGGUGCAAGCGUUAAUCGGAAUUACUGGGCGUAAAGCGUGCGCAGGCGGUCCGCUAAGACAGAUGUGAAAUCCCCGGGCUUAACCUGGGAACUGCAUUUGUGACUGGCGGGCUAGAGUAUGGCAGAGGGGGUAGAAUUCCACGUGUAGCAGUGAAAUGCGUAGAGAUGUG
This 630-nucleotide ribosomal RNA is filed under the name uncultured bacterium. RNAcentral describes it as "bacterial SSU rRNA". It matches the Rfam family "Bacterial small subunit ribosomal RNA", at positions 71 to 700 of the family's 1533-position model. The record is from RNAcentral.